This 433-nucleotide ribosomal RNA is filed under the name uncultured bacterium. RNAcentral's name for it is "partial 16S ribosomal RNA". It matches the Rfam family "Bacterial small subunit ribosomal RNA", at positions 29 to 507 of the family's 1533-position model. The record is from RNAcentral.
AACGAACGCUGGCGGCAUGCCUAACACAUGCAAGUCGAACGAGACCUUCGGGUCUAGUGGCGCACGGGUGCGUAACGCGUGGGAACCUGCCCUUAGGUUCGGAAUAACUCCCCGAAAGGGGUGCUAAUACCGGAUAAUGUCUUCGGACCAAAGAUUUAUCGCCUUUGGAUGGGCCCCCGCUGGAUUAGCUAGUUGGUAGGGUAAAAGCCUACCAAGGCGACGAUCCAUAGCUGGUCUGAGAGGAUGAUCAGCCACACUGGGACUGAGACACGGCCCAGACUCCUACGGGAGGCAGCAGUGGGGAAUAUUGGACAAUGGGCGAAAGCCUGAUCCAGCAAUGCCGCGUGAGUGAUGAAGGCCUUAGGGUUGUAAAGCUCUUUUACCCGGGAUGAUAAUGACAGUACCGGGAGAAUAAGCUCCGGCUAACUCCGUG